Molecule: ribosomal RNA, 452 nt
Filed under: uncultured Fibrobacter sp.
Lineage: Bacteria; Pseudomonadati; Fibrobacterota; Fibrobacteria; Fibrobacterales; Fibrobacteraceae
Description: partial 16S ribosomal RNA
Rfam family: Bacterial small subunit ribosomal RNA
Source: RNAcentral
ACGGAAGGCAGCAGUAGGGAAUAUUGCACAAUGGGGGAAACCCUGAUGCAGCAGCGCCACGUGUGGGAAGAAGCAUUUCGGUGUGUAAACCACUGUCGUGAGGGAAUAAUACGCGGAUUCGUCCUCGGGGGAAUGUACCUCGAAAGGAAGCACCGGCAAACUUCGUGCCAGCAGCCGCGGUAAUACGAGGGGUGCAAGCGUUGUUCGGAAUCACUGGGCGUAAAGGGAGCGCAGGCGGAGAUGCAAGCAGUCUGUACAAUACCGGGGCCCAACCCCGGACCUGCAGACUGGACUGUUUCUCUUGGAUAGUUCAGGGGCAAGCGGAAUUCCUGGUGUAGCGGUGGAAUGCGUAGAGAUCAGGAAGAACACCGAUGGCGAAGGCAGCUUGCUGGGGACUUAUCGACGCUCAUGCUCGAAAGUGCGGGUAGCAAACAGGAUUAGAUACCCUGGUA